CUGUACUCGCGUGUACGUCACGUCUUAUCGCUCUGAGGCUUACAGCUAUUGAUUUUAUUAUCGGCAAUGUUAGUGCCGAGUUUCCUCAGUCAAAACCGAAAGAACCGUAAAAACUGAUUUAUCUCGCAUUCGACUUUGAUUGAUUUAAAGAAGCAGACACGGGAUAUGAGAGUAUUAUUAUUAUGAGAAUUUCAGACAGCUUUUAGACUACUCAAAUAAAAUUGAAAUCAAAAAUUACUUUAUUCAAGAAGUCUUCAAAAUUACUUUUGAAUAGUAAGUUCACAAUUUAAAAUUACUCGAAAUACAGAUUGUGCAGAAAGGAAUCGGCAAGUCUAGGAAGAAAAAACUCCGCAGUUAAUCCUGAAAAAAAAAUGAAGGUGUAUGUAUAUGAUUUUACAGCUUAUUAUCAUUCCUCGGUUGUUACCUUUUUUUUUCUUAAGUUACUUGCCUAGUGGGGGUCAUUUAGUUUGCUUAUAAACAGAAAGUCAAAUGUAUGUCACAGUAAAAUGUAAAUUAUUCAUGUAUUUCGAAAAGGUUAUGUCAACAUGAGUUUGAGGUUCCAGUUAUAUUGAACUUUAAAAGUUUUGAGGGUUGUAUUUGCUCGGGGCGUAACGACGUAAAUUCAAACAUAUCGUUAAAAUCGACAUGAUUUUAUGUACUUAUUCGUGGCA
RNAcentral lists this unclassified non-coding RNA (671 nucleotides) under Melitaea cinxia (Glanville fritillary). Its description in RNAcentral is "misc RNA ENSMCXG00005001881.1". Lineage: Eukaryota; Metazoa; Arthropoda; Insecta; Lepidoptera; Nymphalidae. The record is from RNAcentral.